UGCAUUUUCAGGAAGAGAUACAAAUCUAAUGGGGUUGCCCUUGGCUUUUUAUUACGGGAUGUAUGCAUAUGCUGGCUGGUUUUACCUCAACUUUAUUACUGAAGAAGUAGACAACCCUGAAAAAUUGUUGGCAUUUCUCGGGAGUUCAAGAUAAUGUGUAAUGCUAUGAAAUCACAAACAAUAAGAUGUGCCUUUGCUAUUCCUGGGAACUUUGGAUAAUGAUUUAUUUUCUCUGUCUUAACUUGAUCAGACAAAUAUCCGUUUUUAUUUGACAUUGUCAUUUAGACCACUGAGAUUUUUAUGUCAUUUGCUCAUCUGUUGUUAAACUAAAUGAUGUAUUGUACAACAUUACUUAAUGAGGUCACAUUUUCUAGUUAUCUAACCUAAUUAAAAUCUAUAAAUAUAGAGAAAUAAAUCCAUACAAAGG
RNAcentral lists this long non-coding RNA (427 nucleotides) under Rattus norvegicus (Norway rat). RNAcentral's name for it is "long non-coding RNA NONRATT016367". The record is from RNAcentral. Lineage: Eukaryota; Metazoa; Chordata; Mammalia; Rodentia; Muridae.